Molecule: ribosomal RNA, 406 nt
Filed under: uncultured bacterium
Lineage: Bacteria
Description: partial 16S ribosomal RNA
Rfam family: Bacterial small subunit ribosomal RNA
Source: RNAcentral
AUUGAACGCUGGCGGCAGGCCUAACACAUGCAAGUCGAACGAGUGGCGGACGGGUGAGUAAUGUCUGGGAAACUGCCUGAUGGAGGGGGAUAACUACUGGAACCGGUAGCUAAUACCGCAUACCAUCGGAUGUGCCCAGAGGGGAGUAGCUAGUAGGUGGGGUAAAGGCUCACCUAGGCGACGAUCCCUAGCUGGUCUGAGAGGAUGACCAGCCAAACUGGAACGGAGAAACGGUCCAGACUCCUACGGGAGGCAGCAGUGGGGAAUAUUGGACAAUGGGCGAAAGCCUGAUGGAGCCAUGCCGCGUGUAUGAAGAAGGGCUUCGGGUUGUAAAGGACUUUCAGCAGGGAGGCGUUACCCGCAGAAGAAGCACCGGCUAACUCCGUGCCAGCAGCCGCGGUAAUUC